GGGCGAUUAACUCAGCGGGAGAGUGCCUCCCUUACAAGGAGGAAGUCGGGGGUUCAAAUCCCUCAUCGCCCACCA
RNAcentral lists this transfer RNA (75 nucleotides) under Aeromicrobium sp. RNAcentral describes it as "tRNA-Val". It matches the Rfam family "tRNA". Rfam says of the family: Transfer RNA (tRNA) molecules are approximately 80 nucleotides in length. Their secondary structure includes four short double-helical elements and three loops (D, anti-codon, and T loops). RNAcentral also lists the same sequence under 7 other names. Lineage: Bacteria; Bacillati; Actinomycetota; Actinomycetes; Propionibacteriales; Nocardioidaceae. The record is from RNAcentral.